UCACUAAAUUAAAAAUGAAUCUUUAAUUUUUUAAUUUUUAAAAUGAAAGAUAAGAGAAAAUCAUAAGUACUUAAUUAUAUAUAUGGGUUGCUGCUGAGAAGAAAUGGAGGGAAGUGGAAGGUGUUUUCAUGUUCUCCCCACAACCAAAAGCGCUUCGUUUGAGCUACUCAACCUUUCUCUACCGUUACGAACAAGUUCGCUUUUUUAGGGUGGGUAAUUUUGUGGUUUGAAAAUUAUGUGUUGUAAGUGUAAAUUUGGGAUUAGAAAUGGGUUUUCUGUUAAAAUUUCAUUUUUUUUAAUUUUGGGGGUUUUGUUUCAAGCGAUCUCAUUCUUUUAAUCGGACUUUUGCCAAAGUUUAUUGCUGGGUUUUGGGUGCUUUUGAAUUUGGUGAAAUUUGUGAUUUUUCAGUGCUUCAAUGGUGUUUUGGAAUGAUUGGUAUUUUGGUGUCGAAUGCAACUAAUUAUGUGGAUCUUAAUUAGUAGAUAUCCAAGAGUGACAAAUGCAACUAAUUAUGUGGAUCUUAAUUUGGUGAUUCAUUUCCUUCACUCUGUGUGUCAGGAAAUGAGUUCAACCAUGGAUUCGUAUACGUUGAAGUCCACGUCCGAUUUGCCUGCUCUCUUUCUAUCAUCGUUUAUUUUUACAUAAUAUCCUUGCAAUUGGAGUUUUGUUACUGGUAUUAUUAAGGUUUUGUUCCUGAUAUUAUUUGGGUUUGGUGUUAGUGGGGAUGGCAGUGGCGCGCUAAGUUAGCCGUUCGUGGCUCACCGGAAAACCCUUGGUUGGGCUAUCAGGAGGGAACUCAUAAUGUAGUAGAUAUUUCUCAAUGCAGAGCUCAUCAUCCCAGUAUUAAUGCUGUUGGGGAGCUGCUUAAACAAGGUAUUACAGAACUACGAGUUGAGCCGUAUGAUGAAGAUGAGGGGACUGGUGAUUUGGUAUUACGGAAC
Non-coding RNA from Malus domestica (apple), 941 nucleotides. Lineage: Eukaryota; Viridiplantae; Streptophyta; Magnoliopsida; Rosales; Rosaceae. The record is from RefSeq and is a predicted model, not a curated record.